This 253-nucleotide ribosomal RNA is filed under the name uncultured bacterium. Its description in RNAcentral is "partial 16S ribosomal RNA". It matches the Rfam family "Bacterial small subunit ribosomal RNA", at positions 524 to 776 of the family's 1533-position model. The record is from RNAcentral.
UACGUAGGUGACAAGCGUUGUCCGGAUUUACUGGGCGUAAAGAGCGCGCAGGCGGUCGAUCAAGUCGAGUGUGAAAGCCCCCGGCUCAACUGGGGAGGGUCAUUCGAUACUGAUCGACUCGAAGGCAGGAGAGGGUAGUGGAAUUCCUGGUGUAGCGGUGAAAUGCGCAGAUAUCAGGAGGAACACCGGUGGCGAAGGCGGGUCUCUGGGCCGAUACUGACGCUGAGGAGCGAAAGCGUGGGGAGCGAACAGG